This 492-nucleotide ribosomal RNA is filed under the name uncultured bacterium. RNAcentral describes it as "partial 16S ribosomal RNA". It matches the Rfam family "Bacterial small subunit ribosomal RNA", at positions 29 to 507 of the family's 1533-position model. The record is from RNAcentral.
AGUGAACGCUGGCGGUAGGCCUAACACAUGCAAGUCGAACGGCAGCACAGUAAGAUCUUGCUCUUACGGGUGGCGAGUGGCAGACGGGUGAGGAAUACAUCGGAAUCUACUUUUUCGUGGGGGAUAACGUAGGGAAACUUACGCUAAUACCGCAUACGACCUACGGGUGAAAGCAGGGGAUCUUCGGACCUUGCGCGAUUGAAUGAGCCGAUGUCGGAUUAGCUAGUUGGCGGGGUAAAGGCCCACCAAGGCGACGAUCCGUAGCUGGUCUGAGAGGAUGAUCAGCGACACUGGAACUGAGACACGGUCAAGAGUCCUAAGGGAGGCAGCAGUGGGGAAUAUUGGACAAUGGGCGCAAGCAUGAUCCAGCCAUACCGCGUGGGUGAAGAAGGCCUUCGGGUUGUAAAGCCCUUUUGUUGGGAAAGAAAAGCAGCAGGUUAAUACCCCGCUGUUCUGACGGUACCCAAAGAAUAAGCACCGGCUAACUUCGUG